Long non-coding RNA from Zerene cesonia (dogface butterfly), 683 nucleotides. RefSeq lists it as uncharacterized. The record is from RefSeq and is a predicted model, not a curated record. The transcript is spliced from 2 exons. Lineage: Eukaryota; Metazoa; Arthropoda; Insecta; Lepidoptera; Pieridae.
GAUUCGGGUGGAUUACAAAUUCUCAUAGCGAAUAAAGUUGAGCAAUGUAUACAAUUUCAAAACUCAUCAAUAUCCCAAUAUUUCGUGUUGAUGUUGAUAUACUAUAAACCGGCGAUGGAUUUAUAAAUGAACUUGAAAUUACUUUUACUGGUCACUCCAGUUUAAACAGCGUGCCAAUUCUUUCGUGUUUCGUGUUGAAUAAACAAUGAUUAAGGCUCAUUUCUAUAUGGUUUACAUAUUUUACGUACAGAUAGCGAGUGCAUUAAAAAUAACAUUUAAGUCAGGAACAUAUAUUCCUUUGCAUGCGCAAUUUAACGUGCAACCAACACCGAGGUUAGAGUUCAAUGAAGACUUUGAGACUGCGUUCGCAUCGUUAACCAUACCGGACUAUAAAACAACAGAAGUAUUUGUGCCCAAAAUAGCCACUAACCCAACAAUCGAAACAGAACUGUUUACUCAGGAACACAGGGAUGAUAUGUUUUCAUCAGCUGAAAUUAUAAAACCAACUGCUAUUGAAAGUUUUCUUAGUUUGAAUUUCCCAAUGGCAACACAGGAAAUCGUAUAAAACUGUGAAGACUUCUUUUAAAACGAUGAAAUGGAAAAAUCAGUAGAUAGCCACAGCUUUUUGAGAUGCAUUUUGUAAUCAAUAUUCUACGAUAUCUUGUUUAAUUAAAAAUUUAUUU